RNAcentral lists this ribosomal RNA (1539 nucleotides) under Triticum aestivum (bread wheat). Its description in RNAcentral is "partial small subunit ribosomal RNA". Lineage: Eukaryota; Viridiplantae; Streptophyta; Magnoliopsida; Poales; Poaceae. The record is from RNAcentral.
AUGCAAACCACCAAAGAAGAACCGGCCGGCGCAGCCAUGGCGCCUGUCAAGGACGGCGAGCCGCCGUUGCACAUACUCUUUUUCCCGUUCCUCAUCCCCGGCCACCUCAUUCCGAUGGCCGACAUGGCGGCGCUGUUCGCGGGUCGUGGCGUCCGGUGCACCAUCCUCACCACGCCGUUCCAAGCCUCCAUCAUCCGCUCCGUGGUCGAUCGCGCCAACAAAGACAACCCUACUUCACCGUCGAUCGAUAUCUCCGUCGUUCCUUUCCCGGACGUCGGGCUUCCGCCGGGCGCCGAGAGCGGCAUGGGCCUCGCGUCCCAGGACGAGCGCGACAUGUUCAAUCAGGCGGUGCGGCUCCUCCGGGAGCCCUUGGAGCGGUCCCUGGCCGAUCACCGCGCCGACCUGGACGCGGUGGUGUCCGACAGCCUCUUCCACUGGUCCGUGGACGUCGCCGCAGAGCACGGCGUCCCACGGCUCGGCUUCACCGGCAGCAGCAUGUUCGCCUGCUCGUGCUUCCACAGCAUGCUGCGUAACUGCAACCCGUCGGACUUGGACAACUUGCAGUCUCCAUCGUCUUCCUCCACCGACGGUGAGAGUGAUCCGGAGGCCGUGAUGGUGGCGCUGCCGGGACUGCCGCACCGCGUGGAGAUGAGGCGGAGCCAGAUGAUGAAGCGGCCAGAAGAGUGGGCCUUCUUCCGAGGUGUCGACGCCACGGAGCAGAGGAGUUACGGCGAGUUGUUCAACAGUUUCUGCGAGCUGGAGCCGGACUACGUCAAGCACUACCGCACGACGCUUGGACGCCGAGCGUGGCUCGUGGGGCCGGUCUCGCUCGCCAGCGGCAGCAUGGGCGUGGCGUCGAGGGGCACCGACGCGCUCUCGCCGGAGGCGGACGGCUGCCUGCAGUGGCUCGACGGCAAGCCGGCUGGCUCGGUGGUGUACGUCGCGUUUGGUACGCUGGCCACCUUCUCGCCGGAGCAGCUGCAGGAGCUGGCCCGCGGCCUCGAUCUCUCGGGCAGCAACUUCGUGUGGGUCAUCUCCGCCACCGGCGCCACAACAUCUUCAGAUGAUUGGAUGGCGGAAGGCCUCGCGACGGCUUCGCGUGGGUACAUCAUCCGUGGGUGGGCGCCGCAGGUGCUCAUCCUGAACCACCCAGCCGUGGGCUGCUUCGUGACCCACUGCGGGUGGAACUCGACGCUCGAGGCCCUAAGCGCCGGCGUGCCGAUGGUGACGUGGCCGCGGCACGCCGACCAGUUCCACAAUGAGAAGCUCGUCGUGGAGUUACUCGGGGCGGGGGUCAGCGUCGGUGCCAAGGACUACGCGUCGCUCACAGAGGCUCAUGCGGUGAUCGCCGGUGCGGUGAUUGCCGAGUCGGUUAGGAGAGUGAUGGGUGCUCAGGGCGACGCAAUACAGAAAAAGGCCAGAGACCUCAGCGCAAGAGCGAGGGACGCGGUGGAGAAUGGUGGAUCAUCGUACGGCGACGUCGGGCGGCUGAUGGACGAGCUCGUGAACCGCCGGAUUCAACGGCACGACGCUCGUUGA